AGCCUGCCCAGUGACAAAGUUCAACGGCCACGGUACCCUAACCGUGCGAAGGUAGCAUAAUCACUUGUUCUUUAAAUAAGGACUAGUAUCAACGGCAUCACGAGGGUUGCACUGUCUCCCUCCCCUAAUCAGUGAAACUGAUCUCCCCGUGAAGAAGCGGGGAUACAACUAUAAGACGAGAAGACCCCAUGGAGCUUUAAACCCACAGCAACUCAGUUACAUAAUUCCUUAUAAACUUAAGAGUUAUGCACAAAGGUUUUAGGUUGGGGUGACCACGGAGUAAAAAACAACCUCCAUGACGAAAAGAACUAAAUCUUUAUCUAAGAGCUACAACUCUCAGAAUUAGUACACUAACGAACAAUGAUCCGAUAUUCGAUCAACGAACCAAGUUACCCUGGGGAUAACAGCGCAAUCUACUUCAAGAGCCCAUAUCUACAAGUAGNCUUACGACCUCCAUGUUGGAUCAGGGUAUCCAAGUGGUGCAGCCGCUACUAA
This 495-nucleotide ribosomal RNA is filed under the name Leptomantis angulirostris. RNAcentral's name for it is "partial 16S ribosomal RNA". It matches the Rfam family "Bacterial large subunit ribosomal RNA", at positions 1856 to 2568 of the family's 2925-position model. The record is from RNAcentral. Lineage: Eukaryota; Metazoa; Chordata; Amphibia; Anura; Rhacophoridae.